CUUCUGGAGAGAGCAGUUAUAAGAGCCAUCGAAUUGAUGCAUUCAUCGGUAAAAUACAGAUUUGUAUACAUUUUAUCUAUAAAAUCAUUACUGUGCUGUAUAUCGUUCAAUUUUAUGCAGAGCAACAUGGCACGCGGUAUGAAUCACCUUUAACAAGUGUCGUGGUCUUUUCACGUGAUGGAAAAGCAUGAUGCUAUUUGCAUAAAAUAAACAAUUUUAUUCAUAAAGAUACAGAAUACAAAUACUUUGGAUGUUAAAAUAUUUUCUCAGAGCUGUUUACUGUUUGAUUUUGGGCAGGUUAUAAAGGCAGUCGAAGUAUAUUUAGGCUAUGAGUGAAACGCAGGAUGACGGUCUCAGCCAUGAGCAGUUCCCUGCCAAACACGACUCUAGCUCGGGCCCGAGAACCAGCGCGGCGCAGUUCGAGACUAGUUCAUUUUUACUUUUAAUGUUUGUUAAACGAGGUUAAAUAUGGACAAUAUGUAUAGCCUAUUAAAAACGAUAUAAACAAUGCUGUAAAUGAUAAAGGAAAAUAAAGGAAGUUAUCAUGCAAACCAGUGGUUGUGUGGAGUAUGUUGGAAAAGUUUAGAGGAUUUAAGUUCAUCUGUAAACAUUAUUUAAUGUAUGAAGUAAAAAAUAAGCUAGUAAUGUAGAAAAAAUAAAUAAACCAUAGCUGGGUUAAAUCAACCCAUUAUGGUGGGUUAAAUAAACAACCCAAUUGGGGUUGGGUUUUUUUUUUAACCCAGUGUUUUUUAGCGUGUAUAAAAUGGGAAUACGGGCACGAAGUUCUGACCAUAUUAGGAGCACAUCUGGCAAAGGAUACCUCAACUCUGAGCUAAAGGACAGAUCCACCGCACAAUGAACAAGAGGAACCAAUAGCAUGAAGUCAAGAGGGCAAGGGACAGCAAUCAAUUAAUAACAAAAUAAAAGACAUGAAAACAUGAACAUGACAAAACCCAAAACAUGAAACAAAACCCUCAUUACAGAAUGCCAUUCUUUUGUUGCAGAAGCAAAACCAUGGAUGUUGUAAAUGCUGUGAAAAUCAUGAUCAUACUGGUUUGGACUUUCGCAUCUGUCUGUGAGGCCAGUGAUGAUUCAUGUACCUUCAGUUCAAGCUGUGCUGAUGUGACUGGUACUGUGCAUGAAGAACUAACUCUCACUUGCAGCAUCUCACUGAACUGCACUAAAGAAGCUGAUCAGUGCUGCAUUAUAUCGUACAUGUUUAAGGAUGAAAACACCACAGUAAUCUACAAAAAGGAGUUUCCUAACAAGACCUCUCCUAACAAGACCUGUGAACAAAAGAUCAAAGCCACAUAUGUUUACAAAUCAAGUAAAAACAUCACAGCAAAAUUUACAUUAUUUUCCCAAACAAAUUGUGAGACAAAGGAAACAGAAUUCAUCGUUAACGUAACAGAGUCUGGAGAUAAACCCACCAAUACAGAUACUGUUAAGAAAGGUGAAGCAAAGCUGACAACAUCUGAGGUCACUGUCAUUGUGUUCGCCAUAAUUGUCUUCAUCAUCAUAAUGUUAAUCAUUUAUAGGAAAUACAAUCCCACAAUCCCUUGUCGACACCAGAGAGACUAUAAAACAGCUGAUUCUGCCACAAAAGAUGAUGACAACGGUGAAUAGUCAGAAUGAGCUUCUCAGCCGCACAGCUGGACUGUGUAGCAGUUGUGUUUCACAUCCAGUGCAGGUCAUGAGCCUUUAAACAUGUUUAUAAAAGUGUGUACAGAGGAAUCAUAACUGUCUGUGUUAUUUGGUCUACUCAGUGCACUCUUAUCCUAAGCUGUAUGUUCUGUUUUAUAUUGAUUUCUGUGAAAUAACAGAAUGCUGUCGAUCUGUUUGAUCAGAUUACUGUAUACAGUAAUUAUGUUGAAUGUUCUCAAGUCCUUACACUCUCAGAAAAAAAAAGGUACAAAAUCUGUCACUGGGACGGUACCAGUGUUGGGAAGGUUACUUUGGCAAUGUAACAGGUUACAGAUUACAAGUUACCCUAUUUAAUAAGUAGUGUAACUAUUUCAGUUACUUUAUUGGAGUUACUGAUUACAUUUGAUUACUUUUUGAUAACUUUUCUAAAUCUCUAAUGAAUGUUUUUAACUGGUAAUCAUUUUCAAACAUGUAAAUCAGGCAGGGUUAACCUCACACUAGAAAUCCCUGAUCACUUGAAUUAAGAUUAUAAUAAUGUUUUGGAAAAAAAUUUAAUCUUAAAAAAUAAAGCACAUACAUAAAACCA
This is a long non-coding RNA of Cyprinus carpio (common carp), 2230 nucleotides long. NCBI's taxonomy places the organism in Eukaryota, Metazoa, Chordata, Actinopteri, Cypriniformes, Cyprinidae. The record is from Ensembl.